This is a long non-coding RNA of Tachysurus fulvidraco (yellow catfish), 322 nucleotides long. RefSeq lists it as uncharacterized. NCBI's taxonomy places the organism in Eukaryota, Metazoa, Chordata, Actinopteri, Siluriformes, Bagridae. The transcript has 2 exons. The record is from RefSeq and is a predicted model, not a curated record.
GGCAUUGGCUUCAUCCUCUUCUUUCUGAAGAUCGAUUCCAGCCUGCUGCAUCUGUUUCAAACUGGGAGAGAUGGGACAAAGACACGGAGAUAAAGACAAAGAACGGAGACAAAGGGAGAGACGAGACAGAGAUAACGUACUAUCUCCGACAGACGCUUCUUCUCAGCCCUGAGCUCAUUGUCACGGCGAUCCAGUCUGACCUGCUGCUCCUGAUUAGCGCUCAUGCGAGUGUCGACGGCGUGGACCUGCUGCUGAGCUGCCUGGAGAGGUCAAAGGUUGCCAUAAGAACACCUCACAGAAAUAAAGAUCAGAUCAACUUAAA